GCUCCCUCAGGCGGCUUGUGGGAAGGUCUCUCUGGGCACAUUUCCAGCUUUGCUGCUUUACUCUGGUGACACGGUUUUAGCUAAUUUGAAAACAUCUGCUAGAGUAACUUGCUGUUUUAAUUCUACUACUGGAGAACAUCUGAGUAUGUGAUAGGAGGACUGGCACUAACCCUCAUUCUAACCUCAUGAUUACACCCUUUCAUCUUUUUACAUCAAAGUACUACCAAGUAAAGAAUUUAAAAAUUACUUGUCUAGUCAUGAUAUAUUUUUCUGCUGCUGCUGAAAAAUCCCUGUCUUAUUAUUUCAUGUUCCUUUAUCAUUCAUUUGAUGACACUGACAGCAACUUGCUGAACAAGUUUAAGAAUAGCUGAUAUUUACUGAGCAACCUGGACUUUGUACUCAUGCAGGAUACAGCUCUCAGUAUUGCACUGCAUGUAGGCUGUAUGUGCUGUUCCUAUAAUGAGUAGAGGCUCAUAGUCCCUCAGCCCAGUCCUGCCUGAUAUGGCACCAUAUGCUGUGAGGAGAUUACAAAGGAAGUCAAAAUCAUGAGUGUCACUUCUCUUAUUUUUUCCGUAAUUCUUUCCUACUGUUGCCAUACGUCUUACAUGUGGAGAUGCAAUAGAAAUAAAAUUGCUUCUGCUAAAAUCACAACCUUUUAGUCUGAAGGCAAAGCUGCUUUGUUCUAGAAUGCCUGCGGUAUUAAGAAAUCACCAUGUGUCCUUUUAUUUUUGAGUUUUACCAUGAUUUUUACUAGUGCCUACUUCAAUGAGUUCUUCCAGGAUGCAGGCUAUUUUGAUGACAUCUUAAACAAAGGGAAUAAGAAUUGUCUUUGCCUUACCUUCCUUUUCCCACCUUUCUCUUCCCACUUGUCAGAGAAAUUUUGCAUGACAGAGGUGAAUCUCUGUGGAACCUUCUAGGGGUGUGACCAUCUGCUUGCCCUGGAGAGAAUCAGUCUCUUCUUUCCAAGAAACGAUCUGUCAAAAAAAAAUGCUGUUGUAUAGGGAUGCAAUAUUUUCGGUGUAAGGAAGAGGUUUUAAUUCAUAAAAUAGAAAACAGGUUGGAGAAGUCUUUAGGAAAGGGAUACCUUUUGGGUUGGCUUUUGAAGGAGAAGUUUAUACCCAGGUUCAAGCUGAAGGGCUAAGUGAGUAACUGAAAGGGCUGAGCUAUUUGGAUUACCAUGAGGAAUUUGUGAUGGCUGGAAUGUAGGGUGUGUGACCAGAUGUGAAUCACAGAGGAGCCCACAGAGGAGCUUCAGCACAUAAACUAAAGAGUUUGAUUUUAUUCCUUACGCAGCAAUGAAUCACUGAUUUUUUUUGGCAGAGACACACACACACACACACACACACAGACACACAAGACUAUUUACCAGAAAAGACCUAAGGGAUUUCCUAUCAAAGAAUCUGUAUUUUCAGAUUGGAAAAAGAAUAUCCCCAGAGAGAUUAAGUAACAUGUCCAAGGUCACAAAACUAUUAAUGACUGUAUAAAAACUGGGAUCUAGAACUUUUAAUUUGGGGGAAGUGAAUGUAUUUUCACUUACCUCUUAGAAUAACCUAUAGUGUAGUAAUAUUCUUGUCCACAUUUUAUGGAAACUGAGGCACAGAAUUGUCAUAGUCAUACAGGGAGUAACUUGUGAAACAAAUAGCAAGGUGGUGCAAAGGCAAGAUGUCUGGCUCCUGACCCACCAUUCUUAACACUAUUCUCUACCUCCUUAUCAAUAUGACACAUGUUUUAUCCUCUUGAAAUCCUUUCUGAACAAGAUAGACCUUCUAAAUCAAUAAAUCUGGUAGUACAAGAAUUCAAAAGCACAAGCAGUCACCGCCAGCAUUUGUAUUUAAGAGAAGGCAUUCUGGACUUUAAUUCAGAGCAUGAAUAAGACAAUCCUUUAUCAAGACCAUUUGGGGAGAACUUUUUAAGGGGAAGAUAUCUUCUUCUAUCGUGGCCUCAAAUCAGGCCAUACUGAUUUUCUACAUGCACUAAGGGUGUGGAGAUGGGGGUUAGGGUAGCAGGGCUACAAGAAAGGAUCAGCAGCUCUUGUGCACAUGGAAUGUCUGAACGCUGAAACAGAACUACAUCACUACCACACAGCCAUGCUGCUCUAUGGAGAACUUUUAUCUUUUGCCUUUCACUGUGUUUUUAUAGUGUUCUGGGUGUCAUAACUUCCUUUUGCUAUUGCUUUUCCUGGAAGUGAAUGUGACUUUAUCCAUUUUGCAGAAAAAAAAAGCCUGCACAAUGUGAAUCACUAGGCAAUUGGCUGUUAGAAGAGGAUGUACAACCUUGUGGAACCAUUUUAUAACAAUUUUUUUUGGUUUUGAAAUAUUUUUUCUAGAUUUUGAGCUUCAAGAAAUGACAACAAUGAAAAAGGAGAUUUUUGUAUAUACUAGGCAGUAAAUAUGUGUUGGAGUAAAUGGAUAGGUGGAAGUAAUUAUAUUUUAGAUUUAAAAGAAGUUUCUUUCAGUGGAAUAAACAAUGCAGUAAAUGUUAGAUGGAUGCUGCUAGGGAAAUUUAGCAAUAAAUUGGUUUUGUGAAGUAAAUGAAGAAUAAGGUGCAAAUUUAGUAGUCAAUUUGACCAUCUCUUGUAUUCGCAAUUUCCUCUCCCCUCAAAAACAAAAAGAAAAAAAUCAUGACUAAGAAAUAAGUACUUCAACCAAACUACUGCUUUUAUCUUUUCCAAUUUGUGAUUAAUAACUUUUCUCUUUCAGAUAUGCCAUGAAUUAAAUCAGAAUCCCACAGAGAACAGUUUGGUCACAGUUUGAAGGCAUUCCCAGAUGGUUUUAAAGAAAAACGAAUUUUAAGAGACUGUGAUAUAAAUGACUAAUUUUAUCCUUGAAAGUAUUAAUGGUCCCCUUAUCUCAAUGACUGGCCAGCUUGUAUUAUCUUUACAUCAAGUAUACAUAAAUUUAAACUUAUAGUAAAAGAUUUUCUUAAUAAUAAAACUAGGAGGAUGGUGUAAAAAUCAGAAAUAGAGGAGGUGAAUUCUGGAAAAUGUAAAUCUUUUAGCUUUCUGCAAAUUGAAAUUAAG
RNAcentral lists this long non-coding RNA (3019 nucleotides) under Homo sapiens (human). RNAcentral's name for it is "non-protein coding lnc-AKAIN1-8:1". The record is from RNAcentral. Lineage: Eukaryota; Metazoa; Chordata; Mammalia; Primates; Hominidae.